Molecule: non-coding RNA, 215 nt
Organism: Marmota flaviventris (yellow-bellied marmot)
Lineage: Eukaryota; Metazoa; Chordata; Mammalia; Rodentia; Sciuridae
Source: RefSeq, a predicted model, not a curated record
GGCUGUGGCCCUCUUUCUUACAGCCCGGGGGACAUCGCUGGGAACCUGGAGCCCUGAAGCCACCACCAUGUUUGGCAGGAAACGCAGCGUCUCCUUUGGGGGCUUCGGAUGGAUCGACAAGACCAUGCUGGCGAGUCUGAAGGUCAAGAAGCAGGAGCUGGCCAACAGCUCAGAUGUGACCCUCCCAGACCGGCCACUGUCCCCUCCUCUCACUG